UUUCCUACGGGAGGCAGCAGUGGGGAAUAUUGCACAAUGGGGGGAACCCUGAUGCAGCAACGCCGCGUGGGUGAAGAAGUACUUCGGUAUGUAAAGCCCUGUCAGCAGGGAAGAAAAUGACGGUACCUGACCAAGAAGCCCCGGCUAACUACGUGCCAGCAGCCGCGGUAAUACGUAGGGGGCAAGCGUUAUCCGGAUUUACUGGGUGUAAAGGGAGCGUAGACGGCAAGGCAAGUCUGGAGUGAAAGCCCGUGGCUCAACCACGGGACUGCUUUGGAAACUGUGUUGCUGGAGUGCAGGAGGGG
This 305-nucleotide ribosomal RNA is filed under the name uncultured bacterium. RNAcentral describes it as "bacterial SSU rRNA". It matches the Rfam family "Bacterial small subunit ribosomal RNA", at positions 335 to 657 of the family's 1533-position model. The record is from RNAcentral.